GCCGGAUUAGCUCAGUUGGUAGAGCAGCGGUUUUGUAAACCGAAGGUCGCGGGUUCGAAUCCUGCAUCCGGCACCA
This 76-nucleotide transfer RNA is filed under the name Sphingomonas sp. RNAcentral's name for it is "tRNA-Thr". It matches the Rfam family "tRNA". From Rfam's summary of the family: Transfer RNA (tRNA) molecules are approximately 80 nucleotides in length. Lineage: Bacteria; Pseudomonadati; Pseudomonadota; Alphaproteobacteria; Sphingomonadales; Sphingomonadaceae. RNAcentral also lists the same sequence under 12 other names. The record is from RNAcentral.